AAGGUGGUGAGAGCAUGCAGACUGGCGCUUUCCUUUAGGCAACUGUUCCGGAAAGAUGUCAUAGUCGACCUGAUGUGUUGGCGUCGCUGGGGACAUAACGAACUGGACGACGCAAUGUUUACGAACCCCGGCAUGUACAAGAUCAUUAAUGAUCGUCAGAGUGUUCCAGACAUGUAUUCCGAACAGCUGGUCGAAGAAAACGUUCUGUCUCAGGAGGAAGUACAGAAAACUGUUGGUGACUACAA
This is a long non-coding RNA of Priapulus caudatus, 245 nucleotides long. RefSeq lists it as uncharacterized. The transcript is spliced from 2 exons. The record is from RefSeq and is a predicted model, not a curated record. NCBI's taxonomy places the organism in Eukaryota, Metazoa, Priapulida, Priapulimorpha, Priapulimorphida, Priapulidae.